This is a non-coding RNA of Lipotes vexillifer (Yangtze River dolphin), 85 nucleotides long. The record is from the annotation of a RefSeq genome assembly. Lineage: Eukaryota; Metazoa; Chordata; Mammalia; Artiodactyla; Lipotidae.
GUCAAGAUGGCCGAGUGGUCUAAGGCGCCAGACUCAAAUUCUGGUCUCCGAAUGGUAGGCGUGGGUUCAAAUCCCACUUCUGACA